This 466-nucleotide long non-coding RNA is filed under the name Manihot esculenta (cassava). RNAcentral describes it as "long non-coding RNA (MESC_LNC008375)". The record is from RNAcentral. Lineage: Eukaryota; Viridiplantae; Streptophyta; Magnoliopsida; Malpighiales; Euphorbiaceae.
UCUCCUUUCGAAGUGCAUUAGCCCUCACCAAGCUUCCAAUGGUAUUGAAAGCCAGCUUCAAAUCAUCCAAAGGAUUUCCAGGUACCACCCUCUUGUACAAAUAGCUAUCGAAUGUCAUCUUCUGCACAUACUCAUCUGCGCACAUCUCCACGAACGCUUCUCUUGCUGGGUUUGAUCGGUAGAACACUUUCUGCAACACAUCCAGCACCUUGUAAGUUGGCCAAUAUGUCUUGUCCCAUUUCUCCAAGUACUUCCUCAGGUCACUUUCAUCCACCAUCCUCUUCCCAUUCUCUGACCCCUCGACGAUUGCCUCUGCGCACAUUCUUCCACUCUUUGCUGCAAAAUAGAUGCCUUCGCCUGAGCAUUUCGUCACAUACCCUGCUGCAUCCCCUACUAGAGCUACUCUGUCCAGUAACCUGCGAGGCCUCGGGUGUUCUGGUAUUGGGUGUGCUUCCACUCGUAUAAU